CUCAACCAGCCAACCACUAGGCCCUCGUCUCCCUCCUCUCCUCUUUCCUUUUUCACUUCCCUCUUCUCCUUCCCUUGCUAUCAUCUUCUUGUUCCUAAUUUUUUUUCUAAUUUUCCUCCUUUUUCUCCCUAUUUUUCCUAAAUUGUCAAUUCUUAAAAAUUCUAAUUACUCUUUCUCGUCUGAUUUUUACAUCGGAUGUCAUGAUCAUUGAUGGAUCAAAUCCCAACUCUGACUACCCAACUCAAGUUGCUCUCUCUCUCUCUCUCUUUCCUAUU
RNAcentral lists this long non-coding RNA (275 nucleotides) under Elaeis guineensis (African oil palm). RNAcentral's name for it is "long non-coding RNA (EGUI_LNC041659)". Lineage: Eukaryota; Viridiplantae; Streptophyta; Magnoliopsida; Arecales; Arecaceae. The record is from RNAcentral.